GAGAGUGUGUGUGUGUUGUUGUAAUUGAGGAAAAAGAGAGAAGAAUGGAAUUGUGUCUAUGCCUUCAGCCUUGGGAAGGCUUGAUAUUUAUAGGAAGAGAGGUUGGUGAUGUGGAAAGAAAGAGCAUGGGCUCAGCAUGGCUCUUCCCCAAAUGAGGGUGUCAGCCUUGCUUUCUGACAUUCCAAGAUGGGUUUGGUAGAGUUGGUAACACGUGUCGACACUAUGUGGUCUCUUCUUAUUAAAUUAAUUUUUGGCCAUGCCUUCGUGACACGUGAGGAAGGUGGGUGACAGGUAAACCAUUAGCUGACAUGUCUCUAUGCGACUCUUGGACGUCCAAGAGAGAGUUUGAAGGUUGAGGCUCUUAAGCCUUGAAGGUCGAACUCUUGGUCUUGGACGUCGAAGUAUCGACCUUGAAGGUUGAGGUUCUUAAGCCUUGAAGGUCGAACUCCUGGUCUUAGAGGUCGAAGUAUCGACCUUGGAGGUUGAGGCUCUAGACCCAUUUAGACUAUACUUCUCUAAUGAUUCGCUCACAAUAUGCUCUAAUCUUACCACACUAGCUAGAAGGUGAGGUAACCACUUGGUGGCAUGCCAAGACACUUGGUGAUAGUCCAAGAAAGACUUUGGAUGCUAGGUUGGGCAUCUCACUAUUAUUUACGUGUGAGGAUCAUCUUUAUUUCUCGAAUAAUGGUUUGGGUGCUUUGAAAGGUUAGAGUCAUACGUGGAUCUUUGAUAUUUCAACGCUUCCUACGUGGAAUGGGUUGAAAAGUCAAGUUUCGUUGUCAAACCAAAUUAUGACACCAACAAGCCCCCAGUUCCCUAGACAUCCAAGGCCUUUGUUGGAUAGGGAACUCAAUUGGAAGAAGAAUUUGGUGAACCUAAAAAAUUGAGUAAGUGGUUUUUGUUGAAAUGACAAGAGUUGAUUGCAUAUGAAAUCAAUCUUGUCGCGUCGAGGUAAGUUUUCUAGGGUGGAUGACCAUCUUAUUGCUAGCUCAAAGGUUGGGACAAUGAAGGUCCUAAGUGGGUUAUGUCGAUCAUCCUCGACUUCAAGUAAUGAUAUCCUUCAUUGGUGAAGUAGUUCUUCAAAGGAGACUAAAUCCUUGGUGAGUGUCUCGAAUAGAUAAAGAGUUGCACCAUUGUUAAAGGGUGAGCAAGGAUUAAACUUCUUCGUUUUUGUUUCCCUUUGAGUUCUAAAUAUUGACUCUAAUUUUGCAUCUAAGAGCACUAUCCCUACUCUUGCUAAUUCCGCUAAACGAUUAGCAUGAAGUAUAAGGGAAUGUAUGACCUCUAGCUAUUGUUCGGUCUAAAAUACUCACUAUUCGCUUUGGUGAGUGGGUGUCCAAGAGCUGUGAACGCUCUUCAUAAUCCCUAAGACUCACUCAGCUGGUAUGUCAAGUGAGUUGGACCUCGAGGGCACCCUUGAGGAUUGGUCUCAGAGAGACUCUUUUUCUGGUAGCUUAAGUAGGUUACCUUGUGUGCACUCUGUGAAUUGGUCUCGGCUAGCGAGGCUCUUUCAUCUGGUGGCUCAAGUUCAUGAGUGUUGGAUGAUCAAGGGUGUCUAUUAUACAAGCUACUAACUAGUACUACUUUUAUCUUGGAUGGACUUUUGCUGAGAUAGCUAUACCUUUGUGUUCCAAUAAACUUCUAGGAGUUUACGUAAUAGACUUGUGGAACUGGUACUCCAUUUGGUCCGCGUUUGGGCAUUGACACAUGUUCAUCAGUAAUGAGCUGACGUAACAAAAACUGAGUAGUCAUAUGCUUAGCAUGGGGGUCUUUGCCGAAUUGUCGAAUAGAUGGAUAUAUUUUCAUGCUAAUUCGUUUGUGCAAAUUCCGAUCUCAACAUGAUUCAUAGUAUGCAAAUAGUAGAUAGAUAUAUAGUUCUUAUAAGAUAUAACAUUGUACAAGAUAUAUAGAUAUAUAUAGGUUAAUACUUAAUAUAGUUGGGUCCCUUACUGUCACAUCCCGACUCUUAAAUUUUUACCUUAAUUACUAGCUUUGGUAUUUAAUAAGAAUUUUACCGUCUCCGUCAAUGAGGUUAUAGUUUAAUUGGUCCUUAAAAGGGUUUUGGGGGACGAUUAUUUCAGAGAAUUAUGCGUAGGAGAAAAAUGUGACGACGGUAAAAAUAAUAAAUGUUGACUAAUAAAAGGUAAUUUUUUUUUAGUGGUGUAUUAUUUUGUAGGGUUAUUUUGGAGUUGGGUUUAUAUUUUUGGUGUGGUUAUAUUGGUGUUGGACCGGUUUGGGGAGGCCCAAACCAUUUCUCUUCUUUCUCCCUUCUCCUCUUCCUUCUGACGCUAUCUCUCUCUCUCCCGCUGCCAAUUUUUCUUCUCCUCCGGCCGCCGUUGACCGGUUGAGCUAGGCCACCGUACCGGUCACUUUUGGACCGCUGUCCUUCCCUCUCUAGUCCUGGGUUGGUGACUGCCCCUCUCCCGUCGGCAUCUGCAAGUUAUCACGGCAAGGAGUCGUGGUGGUCCUUUCACCGGAACUCUCUCCUCCGGCCACCAUAGUCUAAGCUACUUGACUCAAUAGGAAGCUCUCCUCCCGUGCAUCAAUCCCUCAAAAGGUCUCACCCUCUCUUGAGCUAGGUAAGGAGAAAUAUGGAGUUGAAAAUUCUAGGGCUCAUUUCGAUUACCCUAUCUAGGCUUAGAAUUUGUGUUUGUGCUAGUUAGGAAAGUUGUAGAGGGAGUUGAGAGAAAAAUGCUGUCAAAAUUUGGUAGGCAUUGGAGGUUGCCGGAGUCGGUCUCCGGCCGCCGCCAUUGUUUAGUAGUUGGUUAUAUUAAGGGGAGUUAUUGAUGAGAAUUUUGGAAUUUUUGGAGGAGUUUUGGAUAGGUUUGGGGAUUUUUAAAGCUUAGUAAUUUUGGCGGUUAUUUAAGGUAGAAUCCGGCCGUUAGAUUAAAGUUGUAUAAUCUGUAGAAGGUUGAAUUAAAGCUGCUAGUAUAUUCGGUGAAGUUUGGACCAUAUUGAGUUAAGAAUGGUGAAGUUGGGCAAUGAUGAGUGUGUUUGAGGCUCACAUUUAAUUUUGCCUAUUUUGUGUAAGUUUUGGAUUUUUGGUUGGGAAAUUAAUUAUAUAUUUGGAACAGGACGUGAGGAGGCUCGAGCUGAAGAGGCCUGGGAGCGACAUCAGACUUAGGCCUAUUUUGUGAGUGGACUUUUGUUUUAAUUAAAAGCAUGCGAUGCAUUAUAUUGAUGAUCAUUUAUUCUUUUGCUGAGAUUUAUUGCUUUCUUGGAUAUUUGGCAAUUUUCCUCUUUUGGAAAGUUCCCGAAAAUGAGAUUUUCGGUCGAUAUGUAUAUUGGAUGUUAUGAGUAUAGCAUAUAUAUAAAUGCUAGCUAGCCAUACGUGCUUGGUCCGUCAUAAUGAGGUAAAAUUCCAUUAUGGUGUGACGUGAGUGUUAGACACAAAUGUCAUGGCCCUAUAUGAAAACUACUUUCUUAUUUGGUUCUUAUAGGUUUUCAUAUAGGGAGUCCACACGUAUAAACACCCGUUCUCUUCGGUCAUAAUGAGGAAAAAUUCCAUUGUGGCGCCACAUGAGCGUUUGACGCAAGCGUCGUAGCCUUGUAUGAAUUUCUAUUUUUCUAUUUUGUUCAUAGAAUUCGUACAAAGAGUCUGAUGAGUGUACAUACAUAUAUAUAUAUAUAUAUAUAUAUUUAUAUAUAGUUUAGCCUGAGAGGCUGUAUUUUAUUGAGUUUUGGAGACUGGCCGAAGCUAGUCAUGUAUUUGCCAGUUUAUGAAUAAAAAGCUUUGAGCUGUCGUAUGCAGCAUAUUUUUCUUUGGAAAUUAAAAUGGGAAUGCAUAAAUAUUCACUUAUUAAUUUAUUUUUAUCCACUCAUUCUAACGGUUUCAAAUGUUUUCCCCUGGGCCCUUCGUUUUAAAAUGCCCAGUCUGCAGAGUGCAGGUUGGAUCUAGUAGGAGGCGAGGCAUAGUCACCCAUUUCUCCACCACCUUUCAUCAGUAGGUUACUGUUAACCUACCAACAUAUUUUUCUUGCUUCCUCUAGUUUUAGCGGCUCUGAUUACCUGGAGGAUAAUGUAUAUUAGCUCGGUUGUGUGCUAAGUCUUGGAUUUUAAAUUUGGAAUAUUUGAAGGUUGAAGUUUGUUAUUUCUAAUUGGAUAUUUAUGUGAUGGAUUAGAAGAUGGUUUUAUUAUAUUGUUGUGGUGGUUGUAUUGUGGGGAGCGGGUGGCUCCAGGAGUUGAGGUUGGAUGUGUCAUUAUAGGAGUGUGGUUUGAAUUUUUUCAGGUUAGGGUUGUCUAUUUUUAAGGGAGGUUAUGUCGAAUUUUUCGGUAAGUUUUCCUUGGAGGUGGUCCCUGCAGGACUUACUUUGGGUUUCAGGGUGAAAUUCAGGGUGGGUCUUGACACUGACCUUCUAAGACCAACUUAUUCCUAUUGGUGCUCAAAGAACUUAUCAGUCUUGGCAUGUCGAUCAAGAAAAUCCUUAAGAAUAUGUAGGGUGCAUUGUAAUAACUAUAUUAGGUCUAUUAUUUAAUUGAGAAUAGGGUGUACCGACUGAAACGUAGCUUGCUCCUUUGAAUGUGACUCGUUGCGGAUGGUGUCGCGUGGACAUUCUCUUGGUGUAAGACUGUGGGCUGAACGCUCUUCCUUCUUCUAAGGUUGGCUCUCGUCAAUGAGUUCGACUCGGGUGGUGGUGUUCUAGCAACGCUGAAUUCCAAGAUUGUUCGUCUAGGCAUAUCAAUAUAAAUUGAUUUGGUCCUUGAUGCAUCUUGAUGUGUCAGUUGGCAGAGUGAGUGUCACCGUUGAAUUUAGACCAUGUAGAGGAUGCUCAAGGUCUUUCCACUGGUGGUGCAGAUUUUAUGGCCGUCGGGAGUCUAGCGCACAUUGGCGUUAUGAGCGAGGCCAAUCUCUUAACCAUUAGAUGAUGGUGUAUUGGAACACCAGAAUCAUGGAUGACAUCCUUCUAAAGGAAUUGUGGUUGGCGAUGGUAUGCUUAUGAGGUUGAUCGAUCACCUUGGUGGGCUGUCUUCUAAUGACUUGCAUGUCGAAGGUACAGCCAUUGCCGAGCCUUUAGGGGUCUACUCCACGCCUCGAGUUACCUCUUCAUGUCUUCAAGUGUCGAUCCUUGUUCUUUGUCAUCAGUUUCAACGACAUACUCUUGAGUUGCAUUUCCAUCAUCCUCUUAUUCCACCGUGCGGUAAGGCCUUCUUUGGUGGAAGUUGAAAUUGCCAAUGAAGGUGAAAGGUGAGGGAAACCCACGUCCCUCCCUAGAAGUGGAUUGAUCUUCAGUGGCAUGCGAGCAACAAGGCUCAAGCGUAGCGCUGUUGAUGAAGCAUCACUUGUACGCAUUCGUGCAUUGGUUGUUCGCAUUGUUAGCUACAUCUUAUCAAUGUAAGCUAAAAUCUCUCCAAUCUUUGUUUUGGUGGUGGCCAUUAACGAUAGACUUCUCGCUCCCAUAAGUGGUUCGAGGUACUUGAUACUUCAUUGAGCGGUGGUCGCAUAUCACCAUGGAAUUUGAAGUAGCCUCAUCGACUGUGUGUCUAAGGUUCAUCCAUGUCUUGGUUGGUCGUCAUAUAGUGACUUGGAUGUUGAAGACAGGGUCAUUGUAGCACCUCCAAUGGAGAUAUUCUCCAUGUCAAGUAGCAUGCUUAACAUCCAUGCAAAUUUCUUGAAAACAUCGUUUGUCAAAUCUAUAACCUUCAAUUGGAUCAUCGUCUCCCGACUUACAUUAUAGUGGUGGCGCUCUGAUGAUGAUAAUAUGAUCGUCUCCCUCUAACGAUGAUAGAUAUAAGUGAAGGUGUGCUAGUUCUGCUCAUCUGCCUUCUGGGUUUCUUCCUCGUUGGUGGCAUGUCAGGGAUGUUGAGGGAGUACACAUGACAACUCGGCGUCAAGAGUGGGUUGGCUCAUCUUCCGUUGAAUGGAGGUAUAUGGACUAAGAUUCUUGAAUAUGAAUGUCGAAUAUCCAAGCUCCAAUUAGUGCGGAAGGUGGAAAGCCAUGUUGAUUUGGCAAGCGUUAGUGGAUCUCCUUUCCUUCGCUGCUUGAAAGCGUGGUCUAAUCCUCCUUGUGCUCUUUUUCAUAACCUUGUGCUCUUUCUCAUAUUUGGGUGCAACUCAAAGUCGUAGGCAAGACAUCGAACAUUGAAGCUCUUCUUCUGCUUCUAAGGCUACUCAUAUGCAUGAUGUAACCUUCCUUCUUCAUCGAACAAGUGAGCACGCGCUAAGUGUUCAUUUUCCCACAGACGGCGCCAUUUUGUUGGUGUCGUUUUUUAGUACCAACGGGUUAACGAGAGUUCCGUUGAAAUCAUACGUGUAAAGUGGUGGGGGUAUUCUUUUGUAGCGGGUCUAUCUUCGCCCUUCGGCUAGUUUGACUAUUUCCAUGGUCUUGGUCGUCUAUCUCUGGCUGAUGCCGGAAUUCCGCGUACCACCUUGUGGUGGUCUUCCUCUCCUUGAAGGUGAGCUAGCUUCCUCUACUUCAUUAGUGAACUUUCUCCACUCCUUUGGUAGACUUUCUUCGGCUAGUGUCGGGGUUCCGCGUACCACCUCGUGGUGGGCUUCCUCUCCUUGAGGGUGAGCUAGCUUCCUCUACUCCUUGAAAGCGAGCUAGCUUCCUUGCGCCUUCUUCUUGGCGUUGGACAUCGCCACUUGAUUUGGGUCUUAUCUUCCUCAAGUUGGUGUACUUCCUCCAGCUGAUGUCAGGCUUCCACGUACCACCUCGUGGUGGGCUUCCUCUCUCUUGAAGGUGAGCUAGCUUCCUCUCCUUGAAGGUGAGCUAGCUUCCUCCACUCCUUGAAAGCGAGCUAGCUUCCUUGUGUCUUCUUCUUGGCGUUGGAUAUCUGUCACUUGACUUGGGUCUUCUCUUCCUCAAGUUGGUGGAGUGUCAUUGAAUGACCUGUUGACAUGUGAGCUAGGAGGUUAUCGGAGGACCAGCCUAAAGCCGGCCAAAUACUCUCCGACGCUUAAGUCAGUAAAGUGUUUGAACAAUAAGUAGAGAUUGGAGAAGAAUAAAUAGGACUCAAGUAUAACAUGAUUUUGUGAAAGAAGAUGAAUGAAUGUGCCUAGCAACUAUGCUUUUUGGCAUGGGAGGAGACCCUCUUCAUGUGCCUACAAAGAGAGAUGGAUAUAUAUAUAUAUAUAUAUAUGUAUAUACAGCUCUUCUCGGCUGCGGACGUCCGCACCAACGGUUUUGGUGCGGAUUUCCAUUUUUGCACCACUUUCUGAUCGAAUUUCCUCAUCUCCACCGUAUAGUAUCUAGAUAAUAUUGUGUAGAUCAUAUCUGUAAAAUUUCAGCUAAUUUGGUGAUCGUUAAGGCCCUCAAACUUGAGUUUUUCUGGUAUGAACACAACCGGAUAGAAUUCAGUCCGUCCAUUUGUUUUUCGAGUUUGAAGACCUUAACGAUCACCAAAUUGGCUGAAAUUUUGCAGAGAUGAUCUACACAAUAUUAUCUAGAUACUAGACGGUAGAGAUGAGGAAAUUCGAUCAAAAAGUGGUGCAAAAAUGGAAAUCCGCACCAAAAAAUUGGUGCGGACGUCCACAGCUGAGAAAAUCCGUAUGUAUAUAUAUAUAUGUAAGUAUAUACACAUACAUAUAUAUAUAUAUAUAUAUAGAGAGAGAGAGAGAGAGAGAGAGAGAGAGAGAGAGAGAGAGUGUGUGUGUGUGUGUGUGUGUUGUUGUUGUAAUUGAGGAAGAAGAGAGAAGAAUGGAAUUGUGUCUAUGCCUUCAGCCUUGGGAAAGCUUGAUAUUUAUAGGAAGAGAGGUUGGUGAUGUGGAAAGGAAGAGCAUGGGCUCAGCAUGGCUCUUCCCCAAAAUCAGGGUAUCAGCCUUGCUUCCUAACAUUCCAAGAUGUGUUUAGCAGAGUUGGUAACACGUGUCGACACUAUGUGGUUUCUUCUUAUCAAGUCAGUCUUGAGCCAUGCCUUUGUGACACGUGAGGAAGGUGGGUGAUGGGUAAACCAUUAGCAGACAUGUCUCUAUGCGACUCUUGGACGUCCAAAAGAGAGUUUGAAGGUUGAGGCUCUUAAGCCUUGAAGGUCGAACUCUUGGUCUUGGAGGUCGAAGUAUCGACCUUGGAGGUUGAGGCUCUAGACCCAUUUAGACUGUACUUCUCUAAUGAUUUGCUCACAAUAUGCUCUAAUCUUACCACGCUAGCUAGAAG
RNAcentral lists this long non-coding RNA (8093 nucleotides) under Fragaria vesca (wild strawberry). RNAcentral describes it as "long non-coding RNA (FVES_LNC000970)". The record is from RNAcentral. Lineage: Eukaryota; Viridiplantae; Streptophyta; Magnoliopsida; Rosales; Rosaceae.